This 427-nucleotide ribosomal RNA is filed under the name uncultured bacterium. Its description in RNAcentral is "partial 16S ribosomal RNA". It matches the Rfam family "Bacterial small subunit ribosomal RNA", at positions 354 to 796 of the family's 1533-position model. The record is from RNAcentral.
GUGGGGAAUAUUGGGCAAUGGGGGAAACCCUGACCCAGCGACGCCGCGUGAGGGAAGAAGGCCUUAGGGUCGUAAACCUCUGUUGUGUGGGAAGAAGAGCGUGACGGUACCACCCGAGGAAGUCCCGGCUAACUACGUGCCAGCAGCCGCGGUAAUACGUAGGGGACGAGCGGUGUCCGGAUUUACUGGGCGUAAAGGGCGCGUAGGCGGUCAUGUAAGUCAGCUGUGAAAUGGUCCGGCUCAACCGGAUCAUGCGGUUGAAACUGGAUGACUGGAGUGCUGGAGAGGCAAGUGGAAUUCCCAGUGUAGCGGUGAAAUGCGUAGAUAUUGGGAAGAACACCGGUGGCGAAGGCGACUUGCUGGCCAGCAACUGACGCUGAGGCGCGAAAGCCAGGGGAGCAAACGGGAUUAGAUACCCCGGUAGUCC